UACGUAGGGUGCAAGCGUUUGUCCGGAAUUAUUGGGCGUAAAGAGCUCGUAGGCGGUUCGUCGCGUCGGCUGUGAAAUCCCGAGGCUCAACCUCGGGUCUGCAGUCGAUACGGGCGGACUGGAGUUCGGCAGGGGAGACUGGAAUUCCUGGUGUAGCGGUGAAAUGCGCAGAUAUCAGGAGGAACACCGGUGGCGAAGGCGGGUCUCUGGGCCGAUACUGACGCUGAGGAGCGAAAGCGUGGGGAGCGAACAGG
Molecule: ribosomal RNA, 254 nt
Filed under: uncultured bacterium
Lineage: Bacteria
Description: partial 16S ribosomal RNA
Rfam family: Bacterial small subunit ribosomal RNA
Source: RNAcentral